This 250-nucleotide ribosomal RNA is filed under the name uncultured bacterium. RNAcentral describes it as "partial 16S ribosomal RNA". It matches the Rfam family "Bacterial small subunit ribosomal RNA", at positions 524 to 773 of the family's 1533-position model. The record is from RNAcentral.
UACGUAGGUGGCAAGCGUUGUCCGGAAUCACUGGGCGUAAAGCGCGCGCAGGCGGCAAUCUACGUCUGGGGUGAAAGCCCGGGGCUCAACCUCGGGACUGCCUUGGAUACGGGAUUGCUUGAGGAUCGGAGAGGCAAGGGGAAUUCCACGUGUAGCGGUGAAAUGCGUAGAUAUGUGGAGGAACACCAGUGGCGAAGGCGCCUUGCUGGCCGAUUUCUGACGCUGAGGCGCGAAAGCGUGGGGAGCAAAC